RNAcentral lists this small RNA (658 nucleotides) under Pan troglodytes (chimpanzee). RNAcentral's name for it is "processed transcript". Lineage: Eukaryota; Metazoa; Chordata; Mammalia; Primates; Hominidae. The record is from RNAcentral.
GGGGAGUGCUCUCCCAGGCGCGAUGGAGGCAACCCGAACCUGAAGCAGCCACACUGCCUUACAUUUGAUCCUUCUCUCAGUUUUUUCCCCACUUAAUCACCGCUGAAAAAUUUCCACCCCAUUGAAGCAGCUAGGGCUCCGACAAGCUACUCUCCUCUGCAAGGCCUACCGUGGGGGCCACUUAACCAUCCGCCUUGCCCUGGGUGGCUGCACCAAUCGGCCCUUCUACCGCAUUGUGGCUGCUCACAACAAGUGUCCCAGGGAUGGCCGUUUCGUAGAGCAGCUGGGCUCCUAUGAUCCAUUGCCCAACAGUCAUGGAGAAAAACUCGUUGCCCUCAACCUAGACAGGAUCCGUCAUUGGAUUGGCUGCGGGGCCCACCUCUCUAAGCCUAUGGAAAAGCUUCUGGGUCUUGCUGGCUUUUUCCCUCUGCAUCCUAUGAUGAUCACAAAUGCUGAGAGACUGCGAAGGAAACGGGCACGUGAAGUCCUGUUAGCUUCUCAGAAAACAGAUGCAGAAGCUACAGAUACAGAGGCUACAGAAACAUAAAUGAGCUGACUUCAGUGAGCAUAGCAGUGGGAACAAGGUCAAGGUCCUUUUGAAACACUGCAGCGAUCUUAAUUUUGUUAGAUUUGGAGUUCAAUAAAUGGAGUAUCCUGA